RNAcentral lists this ribosomal RNA (497 nucleotides) under uncultured bacterium. RNAcentral describes it as "partial 16S ribosomal RNA". It matches the Rfam family "Bacterial small subunit ribosomal RNA", at positions 28 to 507 of the family's 1533-position model. The record is from RNAcentral.
GAUGAACGCUGGCGGCGUGCCUAAUACAUGCAAGUCGAGCGAACAGACGAGGAGCUUGCUCCUCUGACGUUAGCGGCGGACGGGUGAGUAACACGUGGAUAACCUACCUAUAAGACUGGGAUAACUUCGGGAAACCGGCUCUAAUACCGGAUAAUAUAUUGAACCGCAUGGUUCAAUAGUGAAAGACGGUUUUGCUGUCACUUAUAGAUGGUUCCGCGCCGCAUUAGCUAGUUGGUAAGGUAACGGCUUACCAAGGCAACGAUGCGUAGCCGACCUGAGAGGGUGAUCGGCCGCACUGGAACUGAGACACGGUCCAGACUCCUACGGGAGGCAGCAGUAGGGAAUCUUCCGCAAUGGGCGAAAGCCUUACGGAGCAACGCCGCGUGAGUGAUGAAGGUCUUCGGAUCGUAAAACUCUGUUAUUAGGGAAGAACAAAUGUGUAAGUAAAUAUGCACGUCUUGACGGUACCUAAUCAGAAAGCCACGGCUAACUACGUG